CAGCAGCCGCGGGAAAACGUAGGGUCCGAGCGUUGUCCGGAAUUAUUGGGCGUAAAGAGCUCGUAGGCGGUCUGUCGCGUCUGCCGUGAAAUCCUCAGGCUCAACCUGAGGCGUGCGGUGGGUACGGGCAGGCUAGAGUGCGGUAGGGGAGAAUGGAACUCCUGGUGUAGCGGUGGAAUGCGCAGAUAUCAGGAAGAACACCGAUGGCGAAGGCAGUUCUCUGGGCCGUAACUGACGCUGAGGAGCGAAAGCGUGGGGAGCGAACAGGAUUAGAUACCCCGGUAGUCCCUGUCUCUUAUAC
RNAcentral lists this ribosomal RNA (301 nucleotides) under uncultured bacterium. RNAcentral's name for it is "partial 16S ribosomal RNA". It matches the Rfam family "Bacterial small subunit ribosomal RNA", at positions 509 to 807 of the family's 1533-position model. The record is from RNAcentral.